GAUGAACGCUAGCGGGAGGCCUAACACAUGCAAGCCGAGCGGUAGAGAUUCUUCGGAAUCUUGAGAGCGGCGUACGGGUGCGGAACACGUGUGCAACCUGCCUUUAUCAAGGGGAUAGCCUUUCGAAAGGAAGAUUAAUACCCUAUAAUAUAUGAUUCGGCAUCGGAUUAUAUUGAAAACUACGGUGGAUAAAGAUGGGCACGCGCAAGAUUAGCUAGUUGGUGAGGUAACGGCUCACCAAGGCGACGAUCUUUAGGGGGCCUGAGAGGGUGAUCCCCCACACUGGUACUGAGACACGGACCAGACUCCUACGGGAGGCAGCAGUGAGGAAUAUUGGACAAUGGGUGCAAGCCUGAUCCAGCCAUCCCGCGUGUAGGAAGACGGCCCUAUGGGUUGUAAACUACUUUUAUCUGGGGAUAAACCUACUUACGUGUAAGUAGCUGAAGGUACCAGAUGAAUAAGCACCGGCUAACUCCGUG
RNAcentral lists this ribosomal RNA (479 nucleotides) under uncultured bacterium. Its description in RNAcentral is "partial 16S ribosomal RNA". It matches the Rfam family "Bacterial small subunit ribosomal RNA", at positions 28 to 507 of the family's 1533-position model. The record is from RNAcentral.